AAAAGUCUAGUUCUACCGAAGUUUGACCAGGAAGUUGACUUAACAUCAACGUUAUUUAAUGUACCAAGGCUUUCGACUAAAAAAGAUAACAAUGUGUCGAAAAAGAGGAAACCCAAAUCCAGAAUAUUUAAUUGGAAUAGCUCAAAUGUUUUAAAAGAACUUAAAGUUCGUAUUGUCAGCGACACGGAUUGCAAAUAGCAACAUUCAGACGUCUAUUACGAUGAAAAACAUCAAAUAUGCUAUGUGACAUUUUCUCAGGAAAAUGACAAUUCCGAGUGUAAUCUGAUACGAGGUUUGCCCAUAAUGAGCAGAAUCAAUGAGAAAUGGACAAUAGUAGGUGUUACAACUUCAGCAGGAAAUAUUUGCGGAAGACCUUUCCAGUCGGCAUUUAGAGUUUCAUUUGUAAGAAGCUGGAUAAAUUCAGUUACUGGUUAAAUUGUGUGAGAAAGCCAAAUAGAUCACAAGUAUGUCAAUAAAUGAUAUAGAAUUC
Mercenaria mercenaria is the source of this 490-nucleotide long non-coding RNA. RefSeq lists it as uncharacterized. Lineage: Eukaryota; Metazoa; Mollusca; Bivalvia; Venerida; Veneridae. The transcript has 3 exons. The record is from RefSeq and is a predicted model, not a curated record.